GGACGAACGCUGGCGGCGUGCCUAAUACAUGCAAGUCGAACGCUUUUUUCAAUCAUCGUAGCUUGCUACACCGAUUGAAAAUUGAGUGGCGAACGGGUGAGUAACACGUGGGUAACCUGCCCAAAAGAGGGGGAUAACACUUGGAAACAGGUGCUAAUACCGCAUAACCAUGAUGACCGCAUGGUCAUUAUGUAAAAGAUGGUUUCGGCUAUCACUUUUGGAUGGACCCGCGGCGUAUUAACUUGUUGGUGGGGUAACGGCCUACCAAGGUAAUGAUACGUAGCCGAACUGAGAGGUUGAUCGGCCACAUUGGGACUGAGACACGGCCCAAACUCCUACGGGAGGCAGCAGUAGGGAAUCUUCCACAAUGGGCGCAAGCCUGAUGGAGCAACGCCGCGUGAGUGAAGAAGGUCUUCGGAUCGUAAAACUCUGUUGUUAGAGAAGAACAUGCGAGAGAGUAACUGUUCUUGUAU
RNAcentral lists this ribosomal RNA (473 nucleotides) under Ligilactobacillus agilis. Its description in RNAcentral is "bacterial SSU rRNA". It matches the Rfam family "Bacterial small subunit ribosomal RNA", at positions 27 to 478 of the family's 1533-position model. The record is from RNAcentral. Lineage: Bacteria; Bacillati; Bacillota; Bacilli; Lactobacillales; Lactobacillaceae.